Molecule: ribosomal RNA, 253 nt
Filed under: uncultured bacterium
Lineage: Bacteria
Description: partial 16S ribosomal RNA
Rfam family: Bacterial small subunit ribosomal RNA
Source: RNAcentral
UACGUAGGUGGCAAGCGUUGUCCGGAAUUAUUAGGCGUAAAGCGCGCGCAGGCGGUUCUUUAAGUCUGAUGUGAAAGCCCACGGCUCAACCGUGGAGGGUCAUUGGAAACUGGGGAACUUGAGUACAGAAGAGGAAAGCGGAAUUCCACGUGUAGCGGUGAAAUGCGUAGAGAUGUGGAGGAACACCAGUGGCGAAGGCGGCUUUCUGGUCUGUAACUGACGCUGAGGCGCGAAAGCGUGGGGAGCAAACAGG